Molecule: non-coding RNA, 1450 nt
Filed under: Cryptosporidium parvum
Lineage: Eukaryota; Apicomplexa; Conoidasida; Eucoccidiorida; Cryptosporidiidae
Source: RNAcentral
GUUGAAUAACAUUUCUAAUUUACAAAUAUAUCAAUAAUGACUAAUUAUAUUUAAAUUUGAAACAAAGCUAAAGAUCAUACUCUGAAUUUGGAAAUUAUAAUAAAAAUGACUGACAAAGCCAAUUCAAAGAAUCAAUAUCAUAUGGAAUAUCAUCCUCAAGAAUUGCAUGUUCACCUUGGUAAUGACUUGGAUUGAGAGCAAUACUUAGAGAUGCAUUAAAAGCUUGAACAGAAAUAACUGAAUUAUUCGAAUAAAUUGUUGGACUGAUUUCUUUAACAAUUGAAUUAUAUCUUUCUCUAAGCUGUAAAUAUGAAAUAUCUCCCAAUGGAGGAAGAAUUGAAGGGCUAUUUUCCGCAUCAUCAGAAGUGAUUGUAGAAGGAGUAUUUUCGCCAUUAUUUGAAUUUAUCGCAUUUAUUUUAAACUUUAGUUUGGUAAAAUUAUCCUCAACUCUAAACUCAAAUUCAAUACUAUCUUGAAUUUCAAACAUUUUUUGUGGUAUCAUAUGUAAUACUGGCUUCCAAAAUGUUGUUUUAUGAUAACAAAUCUUUUUAUUAAGAUCAUUUUGAAUACUUUCCAUUGGUAUGGUAUUUUCAGUUAACUCAUUUAUUGCAGAAUUUACAGAAUUUGAUGAAGAAGUUGUUGUUGGAGUAUUUUCUUCCAAAUAAUUAAAAGAGUUGAUCCUUUCAGUAUUAUCAACAAAUAAUGGGCUUGUUGUAAGCACAUUUCCAUCAUCAAUCCAAAGAUCAAAGAAAACUACAACCGAAUUAACUCUUCCUUGCUUAAUUAUUUUCGAGUUUAUCUCCUUCUUCCAAUCAGAAAGCUUUAAAAAUUCUUCAGAAUUCAAAUCUAAUGUUAAAAUAUGGAAAAUUUUGCUCAUUUCAGAUAUGUUAUACUUAUUAUUAUUUUUAAUAGGAAUCCAUUGUGAGUUUCCUUCGAAUCUAUAAGUAUCCCAAAAACUUAUAUCAAUAUUAUGUUCAUCACAUAAAUUUGGACCAAUUCUCGCAACAAAUCCAUAAAAUGAAAUUCUAUUUGGUACUGGAAUAUUUGGAACCUUAUUAUUAUUAUAUUUUCUUACUAAUCCAUUACUAAAUGCAGUUCCCCAAAGUGGAAUUAUUCCUUCGCUUAGACCAUCAUGGUCAAAAUUCAAUCCAGUAAAUAAUCUAACCUUUUCCUCAACAAAGUAAUAUUGAAUAUUACUUGUAUUUGGACCAAUAUUUGCAGUUUUUGGUAAUAUUUGCCUUACAUCACAAUUAAAAAACGUUAAUCUUUCAGAUAGCUUUUUAUUUAAGAUAUGCUUUGCUGAAGAGUUAUUCGAAAUCCAUUGAUAAUACUUCAUCUUUUCUUGGUAUUCUUUUUCUUUAUUCAGAUUCUCCAAACCACGACAAUCUUCUGAAACUUCACUCAUUGGUUUCCAGUAUUUUGAUUGGUUUGCUUCCAAAUUAUCAUUUAA